Phasianus colchicus (ring-necked pheasant) is the source of this 383-nucleotide long non-coding RNA. RefSeq lists it as uncharacterized. Lineage: Eukaryota; Metazoa; Chordata; Aves; Galliformes; Phasianidae. The record is from RefSeq and is a predicted model, not a curated record.
AUGAACUACAAUUGGUUUAAAAUUGCUUAAAAUUAAGCUUCUUUUAGUAAGACAGGAGCUGGAGUAUUUUACAGAACUAUGUAGUGUGUUUUGAACUUAUAUGAAGACGCCAGAUUGUCCCUGGCUUGAGCUGAAUAACCAGCCACUGGAAACUGAUACUGUCUUAUCUGUAUCAGAGGAUUCUGUCUGGAGAUGUUAUGUAAAAGAAAAUGAUGACUUGUUAUAUGAGGCACAUUAUGGGAAGUAUUCAGCUGUGCUGUGAGGCUUCUUCUCCUUCCAUUCCCAAUGCACACUUUGGCCAUUAUACUGUAUUUACUUGGCGUAUAACCAGUUCACUGGAAUUAGAUUGCAUUUACUGUGGUAUUUGGGAAGGCUGCCAGUUU